AAAAAGAACGAAAUUUAAAAAUUUCUAGCAACUGUAUUUUGACACUAGUCGUCAUUUAGGGAUUUAAAGAAUGCAUUGCAGCCUCUAAGUCCAAAAAACUAAGGCUUUCAAAAAUUUCAAAAUCUUGGCACCAAGAUCCAACUUUGCCAAGUCUCGCCACCAAACUUGGGUUGCUCGCCACCAAACAUGGGUUGCUUGAAUACUAACCAAGUUGAAAAUUUUCUUGCACCUAUAUUUUGAGACUAGUCGUUAUUUAGGGAUUAAAAGAGUGCAUUGUAGCCCAUAAGUCUAACAAAACCAAGUUGUUGAAAAUUUCUCAAAUCUUGACACCAAGCACCAAGUUUUCCAAGUUUUACCACCAAAAAUGACUUGUUUGAAAAACAACCAAAUUUCAAAAUUUCUUGCAACUGUAUUUUGACACUAGACGUCAUUAGGGAUUUAAAGAGUGCAUUGCAGCCUCUAAAUCCCAAAAACUAAGACUUUCAAAAAUUUCAAAAUCUUGGCACCAAGAUCCAACUUUUCCAAGUCUCGCCACCAAACAUGGGUUGCUUGAUACUAACCAAGUUGAAAAUUUUCUUGCACCUAUAUUUUGACACUAGUCGUCAUUUGGGGCUUAAGAGAGUGCAUUGAAGCCCAUAAGUCUAACAAAACCAAGUUGUUGAAAAUUUCUUAAAUCUUGAAUCCAAGCACAAACAUUGCCAAGUUUUACCCCCAAACAUGGCUUUUUUGAAAAACAACCAAAUUUAAAAAUUUCUAGCCACUGUAUUUUGACACUUGCCGUCAUUUAGGGAUUUAAAGAGUGCAUUGCAGCCUCUAAGUCCCAUAAACUAAGACUUUCAAAAAUUUCAAAAUCUUGGCACCAAGAUCUAACUUGGCCAACUCUCGCCACCAAACAUGGGUUGCUUGAAUACUAACCAAGUUGAAAAUUUUCUUGCACCUAUAUUUUGACACUAGUC
Molecule: long non-coding RNA, 956 nt
Filed under: Vigna radiata
Lineage: Eukaryota; Viridiplantae; Streptophyta; Magnoliopsida; Fabales; Fabaceae
Description: long non-coding RNA (VRAD_LNC012554)
Source: RNAcentral